This 158-nucleotide ribosomal RNA is filed under the name Gnidia denudata. Its description in RNAcentral is "5.8S ribosomal RNA". It matches the Rfam family "5.8S ribosomal RNA". Rfam says of the family: 5.8S ribosomal RNA (5.8S rRNA) is a component of the large subunit of the eukaryotic ribosome. Lineage: Eukaryota; Viridiplantae; Streptophyta; Magnoliopsida; Malvales; Thymelaeaceae. The record is from RNAcentral. RNAcentral also lists the same sequence under 1 other name.
CGACUCUCGGCAACGGAUAUCUCGGCUCUCGCAUCGAUGAAGAACGUAGCGAAAUGCGAUACUUGGUGUGAAUUGCAGAAUCCCGUGAACCAUCGAGUCUUUGAACGCAAGUUGCGCCCCAAGCCUUUGGGCCGAGGGCACGUCUGCCUGGGUGUCAC